GUGUCAGCCGCCGCGGUAAUACAGAGGGUGCGAGCGUUAAUCGGAUUUACUGGGCGUAAAGCGUGCGUAGGCGGCUGAUUAAGUCGGAUGUGAAGUCCCUGAGCUUAACUUCGGAAUUGCAUUCGAUACUGGUCAGCUAGAGUAUGGGAGAGGAUGGUAGAAUUCCAGGUGUAGCGGUGAAAUGCGUAGAGAUCUGGAGGAAUACCGAUGGCGAAGGCAGCCAUCUGGCCUAAUACUGACGCUGAGGUACGAAAGCAUGGGGAGCAAACAGGAUUAGAUACCCUCGUAGUCC
Molecule: ribosomal RNA, 292 nt
Filed under: uncultured Acinetobacter sp.
Lineage: Bacteria; Pseudomonadati; Pseudomonadota; Gammaproteobacteria; Moraxellales; Moraxellaceae
Description: partial 16S ribosomal RNA
Rfam family: Bacterial small subunit ribosomal RNA
Source: RNAcentral